CACCAGCCCCUCGAGUGGUGGGGACUAUUAUUUGGCCUAAAGCGUCCGUAGCUGGCUGUAUCAGUCUCCCGGUAAAUCCGGCGUCUUAAGCGUCGGUCCCCGGGUGAUACCGUACAGCUAGAGGGUGGGAUAGGUGAGCGGUAUUUCUGGGGUAGGGGYKAAAUCCUUUGAUCCCAGGAGGACCACCAGUGGCGAAGGCUGCUCACUAGAACACGCCYGACGGUCAGGGACGAAAGCUGGGGSAGCGAACCGGAUUAGAUACCCGGGUAGUCCCAGCUGUAAACGAUGCUAGCUAGGUGUUGGGUCGGCCACGMGCCGCCCCAGUGCCGCAGGGAAGCCGUUAAGCUWGCCGCCUGGGAAGUACGGCCGCAAGGCUGAAACUUAA
RNAcentral lists this ribosomal RNA (385 nucleotides) under uncultured crenarchaeote. Its description in RNAcentral is "bacterial SSU rRNA". It matches the Rfam family "Archaeal small subunit ribosomal RNA", at positions 474 to 859 of the family's 1478-position model. The record is from RNAcentral. Lineage: Archaea; Thermoproteati; Thermoproteota.